GACGAACGCUGGCGGCGUGCUUAACACAUGCAAGUCGAACGGAAAGGCCCUGCUUUUGUGGGGUGCUCGAGUGGCGAACGGGUGAGUAACACGUGAGUAACCUGCCCUUGACUUUGGGAUAACUUCAGGAAACUGUGGCUAAUACCGGAUAGGAGCUCCUGCUGCAUGGUGGUGGUUGGAAAGUUUCGGCGGCUGAGGUUGGACUUGCGGCUUAUCAGCUUGUUGGUGGGGUAGUGGUUUACCAAGGCUUUGACGGGUAGCCAGACUGAGAGGGUGACCGGCCACAUAGGGACUGAGGAGCGGCCAGGACUCAUACGGGAGGCAGCAGUGGGGAAUAUUGCGAAAUGGGCGGAAGCCUGAUGGAGCAACGCCGCGUGCGGGAUGACUGCCUUAAGGUUGUAAACCGCUUUCGCCUGUAAAGAAGAGUGAGUGACGGUAAUGGGUAAAGAAGCACCGGCUAACUACGUG
This 468-nucleotide ribosomal RNA is filed under the name uncultured bacterium. RNAcentral's name for it is "partial 16S ribosomal RNA". It matches the Rfam family "Bacterial small subunit ribosomal RNA", at positions 28 to 507 of the family's 1533-position model. The record is from RNAcentral.